UCGUGUCUUUCAACAAUGAGUGCUCCAAUGACCAAAUUUAGCAAAGUAGAAGAUGAAGUUAUUGGUUUCCUUAUAAAAAAAAGUCGGAUUUAAGGCUAGGUCGUCUCUUAUUAAAUUUAAAAUAAAAUCAAACUGAUUACGAUUUAUUCUAAAAAAUUCUCGAAAUUUGAUUUCAUUAUUUUUCAAAUGACCGUUGAUUAGUAUUUCAUAAUAACCUUCCGUACUUCUCUUUGUAAAUAAUUGAUCAUGGCCUUUUCUUUUUUCUUCUGACAAAUAUAAGAGCAAAACGUCAUCAUCAUUUUCUUCUUCAAAAAGAAUUUUCAAUAUAUUUACGUCGUCAGAUGUAUCCAUUAUAAUUCAAAAAUUCACGGUAUGUUCGUUUAUACCGUUCACUAGAGUACUUCACACAUCAAAAUAUUAAGUACGACUGAAUGAUGAAACAUAAAUUACUCUCGAUCGUGACGUAAAAUCGUUCAGAAUAAACCAAGACGAUGCGAACGUUAUCUUCUAGUUCGUCGAUUGCGUUCGC
Non-coding RNA from Cinara cedri, 529 nucleotides. NCBI's taxonomy places the organism in Eukaryota, Metazoa, Arthropoda, Insecta, Hemiptera, Aphididae. The record is from the annotation of a GenBank genome assembly.